RNAcentral lists this ribosomal RNA (484 nucleotides) under uncultured bacterium. RNAcentral describes it as "partial 16S ribosomal RNA". It matches the Rfam family "Bacterial small subunit ribosomal RNA", at positions 30 to 507 of the family's 1533-position model. The record is from RNAcentral.
AUUGAACGCUGGCGGCAGGCCUAACACAUGCAAGUCGAGCGGUUGAAGGGAGCUUGCUCCUGGAUUCAGCGGCGGACGGGUGAGUAAUGCCUAGGAAUCUGCCUGGUAGUGGGGGAUAACGUCCGGAAACGGGCGCUAAUACCGCAUACGUCCUGAGGGAGAAAGUGGGGGAUCUUCGGACCUCACGCUAUCAGAUGAGCCUAGGUCGGAUUAGCUAGUUGGUGGGGUAAGGGCCUACCAAGGCGACGAUCCGUAACUGGUCUGAGAGGAUGAUCAGUCACACUGGAACUGAGACACGGUCCAGACUCCUACGGGAGGCAGCAGUGGGGAAUAUUGGACAAUGGGCGAAAGCCUGAUCCAGCCAUGCCGCGUGUGUGAAGAAGGUCUUCGGAUUGUAAAGCACUUUAAGUUGGGAGGAAGGGCAGUAAGUUAAUACCUUGCUGUUUUGACGUUACCAACAGAAUAAGCACCGGCUAACUUCGUG